Ictalurus punctatus (channel catfish) is the source of this 1082-nucleotide long non-coding RNA. NCBI's taxonomy places the organism in Eukaryota, Metazoa, Chordata, Actinopteri, Siluriformes, Ictaluridae. The record is from Ensembl.
GUAAAUAGUUAGAUAAAUAGAUAAAUAAAUGAGUGAGUGAGAAAUAGAUAGAUAGAUAGAUAGAUAGAUAAACGAAUGAGCGAGUGAAUAGAUAGAUAGAUAGAUAGAUAGAUAGAUAAAUGAAUGAGCGAGUGAGUAAAUAGAUAGAUAGAAUAGAUAGAUAGAUAGAUAGAUAGAUAGAUAAAUGAGUGAGUGAGAAAAUAGAUAGAUAGAUAAAUAGAUAGAUAAAUGAAUGAGUGAGAAAAUAGAUAGAUAGAUAGAUAAACGAAUGAGCGAGUGAGUAGAUAGAUAGAUAGAUAAAUGAGUGAGUGAGAAAAUGAAUGAGUGAGUGUUAAAAUAGAUAGAUAGAUAGAUGAAUGAGCGAGUGAGUAAAUAGAUAGAUAGAUAGAUAGAUAAACAAAUGAGUGAGUGAGAAAAUAGAUAGAUAGAUAGAUAGAUAGAUAAACAAAUGAGUGAGUAAAUAGAUAGAUAGAUAGAUAGAUAGAUAGAUAGAUAGAUAAAUGAAUAAAUGAAUGAGCGAGUGAAUAGAUAGAUAGAUAGAUAGAUAGAUAGAUAGAUAGAUAAAUGAAUGAGGGAGUGAGUAAUAGAUAGAUAGAUAGAUAGAUAGAUAGAUAAAUGAAUGAGGGAGUGAGUAAAUAGAUAGAUAGAUAUAUAGAUAGAUAAAUGAGUGAGUGAGAAAAUAGAUGAAUAAAUGAAUGAGCGAGUGAGUAGAUAGAUAGAUAGAUAGAUAAAUGAACGAGCGAGUGAGUAGAUAGAUAGAUAAAUAAACGAGCGAGUGAGAAGAUGGAUAGAUAAGUGGAUAAUGAGUGAGUAAAUAAGUGAUCUGAUUUCCCGAGCUCCGGGUCAGCACUGCUGUCUGUGCGUUGUGUUCUCAGUAGCGUUUGUGUAUUUCAGUAAUAAUUUGACGACGCAGUCACUGCAAGCACGCUCUAUACCGUUAACCGUUAUUUACUUUAAUACUCCUCCGUUCCUAUACUUUUGCUCACGUAAAAUCAGACCGGAUGGUCCGAGACAAAAGUUGUUUAUCACAUCUAGAUGUAAACGUGAGGAAAUCCGAUCUACCGUCUCGUGUUCAUCUUUUC